GGAGGCGGCAGGAGCGGUGACGGUGUCGCCGCGAAACCGGAUUGCCGGCACGGAGGGCUCACCGGCCUGGCCCCCGCGGCCCUCUCCCGCCUCGCUCCCAUUGUGUUGGAAUCAUAAAAAGAGAGAAUAUAACAACAACAAGAAAAAGACUAAAAUUGUGACAAAGACCCAACUGGGUAGGUUUACAUUUUAUUCUCAAUUGGGAUCUCUUGGUUAUAAACUCUU
Molecule: long non-coding RNA, 225 nt
Filed under: Bos mutus (wild yak)
Lineage: Eukaryota; Metazoa; Chordata; Mammalia; Artiodactyla; Bovidae
Description: lncRNA (ENSBMUG00000008085.1)
Source: RNAcentral